RNAcentral lists this unclassified non-coding RNA (521 nucleotides) under uncultured Glomeromycotina. RNAcentral describes it as "SSU rRNA". It matches the Rfam family "Eukaryotic small subunit ribosomal RNA", at positions 571 to 1092 of the family's 1831-position model. The record is from RNAcentral. Lineage: Eukaryota; Fungi; Glomeromycota.
CAGCCGCGUAAUUCCAGCUCCAAUAGCGUAUAUUAAAGUUGUUGCAGUUAAAAAGCUCGUAGUUGAACCUCGGGGUCUACCCAUUGGUCAGGCUUAAUUGUCUGCACUGGUGAGAUCGAUCUCUACCUUCUGAGGAACUUUCAUGCCAUUUAUUUGGUGUGAUGGGAAAUCAGGACUGUUACUUUGAAAAAAUUAGAGUGUUUAAAGCAGACUAUCGUCUGAAUACAUUAGCAUGGAAUAAUGAAAUAGGACGGACUGAUUCUAUUUCGUUGGUUUCUAGGAUCACCGUAAUGAUUAAUAGGGAUAGUUGGGGGCAUUAGUAUUCAAUUGUCAGAGGUGAAAUUCUUGGAUUUAUUGAAGACUAACUACUGCGAAAGCAUUUGCCAAGGAUGUUUUCAUUAAUCAAGAACGAAAGUUAGGGGAUCGAAGACGAUCAGAUACCGUCGUAGUCUUAACCAUAAACUAUGCCGACUAGGGAUCGGACGAAGUUAAUUUUAUAAUGACGCGUUCGGCACCUUACG